Molecule: non-coding RNA, 497 nt
Organism: Drosophila melanogaster (fruit fly)
Lineage: Eukaryota; Metazoa; Arthropoda; Insecta; Diptera; Drosophilidae
Source: Ensembl
AUUUAUAUACGUAUGUAUAGUGGCGGAUAUUGAGGUGUUGACAAGACACCUGUAUUUUCGUGGGAGGUGGAGAAAUAGUUGGCUUUAGGGACAACUUGACAGCAAAUUUGGCGCUCCAUUGGCGUGCGCAUGUCGCCAAGAAAAAAAAAAAAAAAACACGGCCAAGUGCGUUGUGCUCCGACAGAGGGCGCUGCAAGGUGGCAAACGGACAAUUGAAAAGUUAAUUGAACGGCACUUAAAACGCAAUUAAUUACCAAAUCGCUGACACGCUGAGUAGGCCUACAAGGAAGCGCUGAACUUGACAACGAAAAUGGAGAGCGGAAAGCCAAAAAACGAAACUGAAACUGAAACCGAAACCGAAACUCAAUCGGAUAGCAGUAUCGAAACCGUGGACAAAAAGACAAAUUACCCGAAACCAGUUUUGGCCCAAGACAAUUGUCAAAUUGUCAACCAAGAUGCCGAGACACUUUUGUACUUGUUACCGGUUUGCUCUUCGG